This 211-nucleotide long non-coding RNA is filed under the name Elaeis guineensis (African oil palm). Its description in RNAcentral is "long non-coding RNA (EGUI_LNC067865)". Lineage: Eukaryota; Viridiplantae; Streptophyta; Magnoliopsida; Arecales; Arecaceae. The record is from RNAcentral.
AUUUCUUAGUUAAGUCUGACUCACCAUUCACCAGUGAGUGCAAAGUCAUCAUUGGAUCCCUCACCUAACAGUUAUUGAGCCCAACCCCAUCUUUAUCCCAGGGCAUCUAAUGCCGAUAGAUUGGUUAUGCCUUCUCGAUGUAAUCAAAUCACUGUAACCAGCUGAGAAUGAUCAACGUCAGAAAAGAUACCCGCAUCUUUAUAAUGGUGGA